GACGAACGCUGGCGGCGUGCUUAACACAUGCAAGUCGAACGGAAAGGCCCCUUUGGGGGUACUCGAGUGGCGAACGGGUGAGUAACACGUGAGUAACCUGCCCUUGACUUCGGGAUAACUUCAGGAAACUGGGGCUAAUACCGGAUAGGAAUCCUUGCUGCAUGGUGGGGGUUGGAAAGCUUCGGCGGUUUUGGAUGGACUCGCGGCUUAUCAGCUUGUUGGUGGGGUAGUGGCUUACCAAGGCUUUGACGGGUAGCCGGCCUGAGAGGGCGACCGGCCACAUUGGGACUGAGAUACGGCCCAGACUCCGACGGGAGGCAGCAGUGGGGAAUAUUGCACAAGGGGCGGAAGCCGGAUGCAGCAACGCCGCGGGCGGGAGGACGGCCUUCGGGUUGGAAACCGCUUUCAGCAGGGGCGAAGCUUGUGGUGACGGUACCUGCAGAAGAAGCACCGGCUAACUACGUG
This 465-nucleotide ribosomal RNA is filed under the name uncultured bacterium. Its description in RNAcentral is "partial 16S ribosomal RNA". It matches the Rfam family "Bacterial small subunit ribosomal RNA", at positions 28 to 507 of the family's 1533-position model. The record is from RNAcentral.